GCUAUGACGGGUAUCCGGCCUGAGAGGGUGAACGGACACACUGGAACUGAGACACGGUCCAGACUCCUACGGGAGGCAGCAGUAGGGAAUAUUGCUCAAUGGGCGAAAGCCUGAAGCAGCAACGCCGCGUGGAGGAUGAAGGUCUUCGGAUUGUAAACUCCUUUUCUAAGAGAAGAUUAUGACGGUAUCUUAGGAAUAAGCACCGGCUAACUCCGUGCCAGCAGCCGCGGUAGUACGGAGGGUGCAAGCGUUACUCGGAAUCACUGGGCGUAAAGAGCACGUAGGCGGCCUUGCAAGUCAGAUGUGAAAUCUAACGGCUUAACCGUUAAACUGCAUUUGAAACUGCAAGGCUAGAGUAUGGGAGAGGUAGGUGGAAUUCUCGGUGUAGGGGUAAAAUCCGUAGAGAUCGAGAGGAAUACUCAUUGCGAAGGCGACCUGCUGGAACAUUACUGACGCUGAGGUGCGAAAGCGUGGGGAGCAAACAGGAUUAGAUACCCUGGUAGUCCACGCCCUAAACGAUGAAUGCUAGUUGUUGCCCUGCUUGUCAGGGCAGUAAUGCAGCUAACGCAUUAAGCAUUCCGCCUGGGGAGUACGGUCGCAAGAUUAAAACUCAAAGGAAUAGACGGGGACCCGCACAAGCGGUGGAGCAUGUGGUUUAAUUCGAAGAUACGCGAAGAACCUUACCUGGGCUUGACAUUGAUAGAAUCCUGUAGAGAUACGGGAGUGCCAGCUUGCUGGAGCUUGAAAACAGGUGCUGCACGGCUGUCGUCAGCUCGUGUCGUGAGAUGUUGGGUUAAGUCCCGCAACGAGCGCAACCCCCGUUCUUAGUUGCUAACGGUUCGGCCGAGCACUCUAAGAAGACUGCCUUCGUAAGGAGGAGGAAGGUGGGGACGACGUCAAGUCAUCAUGGCCCUUACGCCCAGGGCUACACACGUGCUACAAUGGUGUGCACAAAGAGACGCAAUACCGCGAGGUGGAGCCAAUCUUUAAAACACAUCUCAGUUCGGAUUGUAGUCUGCAACUCGACUACAUGAAGCUGGAAUCGCUAGUAAUCGUGACUCAGCCAUGUUACGGUGAAUACGCUCCCGGGUCUUGUACUCACCGCCCGUCACACCAUGGGAGUUGUAUUCGCCUUAAGCCGGGACGCUAAACUGGCUACCGUCCACGGCGGAUGCAGCGACUGGGGUGAAGU
RNAcentral lists this ribosomal RNA (1192 nucleotides) under uncultured Helicobacter sp. Its description in RNAcentral is "bacterial SSU rRNA". It matches the Rfam family "Bacterial small subunit ribosomal RNA", at positions 273 to 1486 of the family's 1533-position model. The record is from RNAcentral. Lineage: Bacteria; Pseudomonadati; Campylobacterota; Epsilonproteobacteria; Campylobacterales; Helicobacteraceae.